Molecule: transfer RNA, 86 nt
Filed under: Candidatus Saccharimonadota bacterium
Lineage: Bacteria; Candidatus Saccharimonadota
Also listed under: 1 other name
Description: tRNA-Leu
Rfam family: tRNA
About the family: Transfer RNA (tRNA) molecules are approximately 80 nucleotides in length.
Source: RNAcentral
GCGCGGGUGGUGGAAUCGGUAGACACGAGAGACUUAAAAUCUCUUGCCCACAAGGCGUGCGGGUUCAAGUCCCGCCCCGCGCACCA